GUGGGGAAUCUUCCGCAAUGGACGAAAGUCUGACGGAGCGACGCCGCGUGAGUGAAGAAGGCCUUCGGGUCGUAAAGCUCUGUCAUCAGGGACGAAUGGCCGGUGGAGUGGAAAGCCACCGGAUUGACGGUACCUGAGAAGGAAGCCACGGCUAACUACGUGCCAGCAGCCGCGGUAAUACGUAGGUGGCAAGCGUUGUCCGGAAUUAUUGGGCGUAAAGCGCGCGCAGGUGGGAUCUUAAGUCCAUUUUGAAAGUUCGGAGCUCAACUCCGUGAUGGGAUUGAAACUGGGAUUCUUGAGUACCGGAGAGGAAAGCGGAAUUCCCCGUGUAGCGGUGAAAUGCGUAGAGAUGGGGAGGAACACCAGUGGCGAAGGCGGCUUUCUGGACGGUGUCUGACACUGAGGCGCGAAAGCCAGGGGAGCGAACGGGAUUAGAUACCCGAGUAGUCC
This 450-nucleotide ribosomal RNA is filed under the name uncultured bacterium. Its description in RNAcentral is "partial 16S ribosomal RNA". It matches the Rfam family "Bacterial small subunit ribosomal RNA", at positions 354 to 796 of the family's 1533-position model. The record is from RNAcentral.